RNAcentral lists this ribosomal RNA (270 nucleotides) under uncultured Dialister sp. Its description in RNAcentral is "partial 16S ribosomal RNA". It matches the Rfam family "Bacterial small subunit ribosomal RNA", at positions 100 to 354 of the family's 1533-position model. The record is from RNAcentral. Lineage: Bacteria; Bacillati; Bacillota; Negativicutes; Veillonellales; Veillonellaceae.
CGGGUAGAGUAACACGUAAACAACCUGCCUUCAAGAUGGGGACAACAGACGGAAACGACUGCUAAUACCGAAUACGAUCCGAAAGUCGCAUGACAUUUGGAUGAAAGGGUGGCCUAUCGAAGAAGCUAUCGCUUGAAGAGGGGUUUGCGUCCGAUUAGGUAGUUGGUGAGGUAACGGUCCACCAAGCCGACGAUCGGUAGCCGGUCUGAGAGGAUGAACGGCCACACUGGAACUGAGACACGGUCCAGACUCCUACGGGAGGCAGCAGGG